RNAcentral lists this non-coding RNA (88 nucleotides) under Stygamoeba regulata. Lineage: Eukaryota; Discosea; Stygamoebida. The record is from RNAcentral. RNAcentral also lists the same sequence under 1 other name.
AAAGAGAGCCCGGGACUAUUCGUUUCCUUUGUUUCCUUGUUUCCUUCUUUUUCCUUUUGCUUCUUUUCCCGCUCCCUCUCUCCUUCUC